Molecule: long non-coding RNA, 221 nt
Filed under: Homo sapiens (human)
Lineage: Eukaryota; Metazoa; Chordata; Mammalia; Primates; Hominidae
Description: long non-coding RNA NONHSAT203648
Source: RNAcentral
UACCAGCUCUAACUCACCCACCUCAAGAAGUGCCAUGCCCUCGGCAGAAUAUCCCAGGCCCACCUCAAGACUCUCUGGGCCUACCUCAAGAUGUGCCAGGGCUGCCUCAAAGCAUAUUACAUCCACAAGAUGUGGCAUACCUGCAAGACAUGCCACGGUCACCAGGAGAUGUGCCACAGUCACCAAGUGAUGUUUCACCGUCACCAGAUGCACCACAGUCA